AGCACGGAUUUCCCUGGCGUCAGCACUGAGCCCUCCCCGCCCCCCACCUCUCCCCAGUCCCAGUUCGUCCCAUUAUCAAGAGAGCCAGUGCUCCUAUUUUAUAAGGUACAAGAGGUCACUGUCCCAUUUGGCUCCAGGGAAGAACAUUUUCUGGCUACUUCUGCCCAGUUACCCAGCUGCAUCUCUCUCAGAAUCUCAGAUUUUGGUUUGUUUUGGAAGGUGGGAAGAAAGUACCACCGCGGUGGGGACGCAGGUGCUCAGCCCGGGUGGGGGCAAGCGGGAGGGCUUCGAUGGCUGAAGAGCAGAGGUCUUUGCAUUUCAUUUCAGAUGCUCCACCGCCCCUCACCUAUCAGGGACCCACACAGAAUCUGCCUAGAGAAAGUAUCUUGUUUGGAGCCUGCUGGCUAUUUUUAGUCAGUAUUUUUAGCAUUUAAAAAUACUCAGAAGCAGCAGCGUGUGCUGUUACUCAUCUGUGGCCUCCUUCUGUUCCUCUUGGCAUGCUCAUGGCCACAUGUACACGCGCCCAGCUCACACGACCUCAGCCACAUGGGGAAUAUGUCCCGGACACAGGUAUGGGGUGGGCGAUGGUCAGCAAGGGCACCGGUGUGAGGAGGUGAGCGCCCCCCGUCCCUGUCCUCACUCCGUGACCAGAUCCCUGUGACUAGAUCCCCGAGGUGCUGCCUCAGCCUUCUCCCUGCUUCCCUCUUUCUAGGCACACCCUUUCCAUUGAGUCCUACAGUGUCUGCAGCAACGCUGGCCUUUGAUGACACCACACUUCUGCCUGUAAGCUCCUAGAGCACCUGACUCCUACGUCCAGCAUGGAAGCUGAGAUGAAGAUCCUUAAGUCCUGAGAAGCCAAAUGACUUGCCAGAACCACAAAGCUAAUAAAUGACAGUGUGGGGCUUUGAACCCCAACUUGGCUUACGGCAAAACCUGUGCUUUUAACAAUUACCAGGAGAUUCUGGAAUGCCCUUCCGCUCCCUGCCAAUUACCUGCUUGUAAAGUCUGCUCAAAACUUGUGUUUUCCACCAAGCCCUCUCUAAAGAACUCCAUUCAGCGUGGAACAGCCCAUCACAGCAUAACCCCUGUCCACUGGUAUUCAGCUUACAUCGUGUUAAUUUAUCUUAAUAUGUUUAUCUUUGUUUUAUAAGUGUC
This is a long non-coding RNA of Neogale vison (American mink), 1155 nucleotides long. RefSeq lists it as uncharacterized. The transcript has 2 exons. Lineage: Eukaryota; Metazoa; Chordata; Mammalia; Carnivora; Mustelidae. The record is from RefSeq and is a predicted model, not a curated record.